UAGCAUAAUCAUUAUUUUUUUAAUUGAAAACUUGUAUGAAUGGUUGGACAAAGAAAAAGCUGUCUCUUUUAUUUGAAUUGAAAUUAACUUCUAAGUGAAAAGGCUUAGAUUUUUUAGAGGGACGAUAAGACCCUAUAAAGCUUUAUAAGUUAAGUAAGUUAAAUUAAUUUUUUAAAAUAAAAAUAAGCUUAAAAAAUUUAUUUGGUUGGGGCGACAAUGGUAUAAAUUAAAUAACUGCUAUUAAAAUUAAGCAAUUAUAUUUGAUUAGAAUUAUAAUUGAUCCUUAUUAUGGAUUAAAAGAUCAAGUUACUUUAGGGAUAACAGCGUAAUUUCUUUUGAGAGUUCUUAUCAAAGAAGAAGUUUGCGACCUC
Molecule: ribosomal RNA, 371 nt
Filed under: Scylla oceanica
Lineage: Eukaryota; Metazoa; Arthropoda; Malacostraca; Decapoda; Portunidae
Description: partial 16S ribosomal RNA
Source: RNAcentral